AUCUAGUUGACGAGUCCCGAUAGGGACGAAAUGAGCAUCCUGGAU
RNAcentral lists this non-coding RNA (45 nucleotides) under Trichobilharzia regenti. The record is from RNAcentral. Lineage: Eukaryota; Metazoa; Platyhelminthes; Trematoda; Strigeidida; Schistosomatidae.